ACUCCUACGGGAGGCAGCAGUGGGGAAUAUUGGGCAAUGGGCGCAAGCCUGACCCAGCAACGCCGCGUGAAGGAAGAAGGCUUUCGGGUUGUAAACUUCUUUUCUCAGGGACGAAGCAAGUGACGGUACCUGUUUAGAAAGCUCCGGCUAACUACGUGCCAGCAGCCGCGGUAAUACGUAGGGAGCAAGCGUUGUCCGGAAUUACUGGGCGUAAAGGGCGCGUAGGUGGGCGCUUAAGUCAGGUGUGAAAACUCCGGGCUCAACCUGGAGACUGCACUUGAAACUGGGUGUCUUGAGGGCAGGAG
RNAcentral lists this ribosomal RNA (305 nucleotides) under uncultured bacterium. RNAcentral's name for it is "bacterial SSU rRNA". It matches the Rfam family "Bacterial small subunit ribosomal RNA", at positions 335 to 654 of the family's 1533-position model. The record is from RNAcentral.